GUAUCAGUCUGUAGUUGUUGCUGUAACAGGUAUCAGUCUGUAGUUGAUGCUGUAGCAGGUUUCAGUCUGUAGUUGAACUGUAGUUGUUGCUGUAGCAGGUCUCAGUCUGUAGUUGUUGCUGUAUCAUGUAUCAGUCUGUAGUUGAUGCUGUAGCAGGUCUCAGUCUGUAGUUGUUGCUGUAGCAGGUAACAGUCUGUAGUUGUUGCUGUAUCAUGUAUCAGUCUGUAGUUGAUGCUGUAGCAGGUAUCAGUCUGUAGUUAUGUUGUUCCUUUGACUGAUAGUUUAACUGUAGUUUAACUGUCUGUAGUUUAACUGUCUGUAGUUUAACUGUGGUUGUUGCUGAAAGCAGAUAUCAGUCUGUAGUUGUUGCUGUAUCAUGUAUCAGUCUGUAGUUGAUGCUGUAGCAGGUCUCAGUCUGUAGUUGAUGCUGUAACAGGUAUCAGUCUGUAGUUGAACUGUAGUUGUUGCUGAAAGCAGGUAUCAGUCUGUAGUUGAACUUUGUUGUUGCUGUAUCAGGUAUCAGUCUGUAGUUGUUGCUGAAGCAGGUAUCAAUUUGUAGUUGAACUGUAGUUGUUGCUGUAACAGGUAUCAGUCUGUAGUUGUUGCUGUAACAGGUAUCAGUCUGUAGUUGUUGCUGUAGCAGGUUUCAGUCUGUAGUUGAACUGUAGUUGUUGCUGUAGCAGGUAUCAGUCUGUAGUUGUUGCUGUAGCAGGUCUCAGUCUGUAGUUGUUGCUGUAGCAGGUAACAGUCUGUAGUUGAUGCUGUAGCAGGUAUCAGUCUGUAGUUAUGUUGUUCCUUUGACUGAUAGUCUUUAGUUUAACUGUAGUUGUUGCUGAAAGCAGAUAUCAGUCUGUAGUUGUUGCUGUAGCAGGUAUCAGUCUGUAGUUGUUGCUGAAAGCAGGUUUCAGUCUGUAGUUGAACUGUAGUUGUUUCUGUAGCAGGUAUCAGUCUGUAGUUGUUGCUGUAACUGGUAUCAGUCUGUAGUUGUUGCUGUAUCAGGUAACAGUCUGUAGUUGAACUGUAGUUGUUGCCAUAGAAGGUAUCAGUCUGUAGUUGUUGCUGUAGCAGGUAUCAGUGUGUAGUUGUUGCUGUAUCAGGUAUCAGUCUGUAGUUGUUGCUGUAGCAGGUAUCAGUGUGUAGUUGUUGAUGUAUCAGGUAUCAGUCUGUAGUUGUUGCUGUAACAGGUAUCAGUUUGUAGUUGUUGCUGUAGCAGGUAUCAGUCUGUAGUUGAACUGUAGUUGUUGCUGUAGCAGGUAUCAGUCUGGAGUUGUUGCUGUAGAAGGUAUCAGUUGUUGUACUCGGGUUGAAGAUGUG
Molecule: long non-coding RNA, 1314 nt
Organism: Oncorhynchus tshawytscha (Chinook salmon)
Lineage: Eukaryota; Metazoa; Chordata; Actinopteri; Salmoniformes; Salmonidae
Source: Ensembl